Long non-coding RNA from Aethalodelphis obliquidens (Pacific white-sided dolphin), 860 nucleotides. RefSeq lists it as uncharacterized. Lineage: Eukaryota; Metazoa; Chordata; Mammalia; Artiodactyla; Delphinidae. The transcript is spliced from 5 exons. The record is from RefSeq and is a predicted model, not a curated record.
GGCCACAUCCCGGGCCUCGCAGACAGCCUCCCGCGCGGGGGAUACUUGAGCGCCCUUCCCUGCAGGGACGGCGGAGGAUGCAGACACAGGCGGUGGCUGGGAGAGCCGGCAGAUGAAGGCUGGAAGAGUUGGCAAGACUCGGCCUGGGCUGCACAGCAGUUAGUGGCAGAGCUGGGACUGAAGUCCAGGUCUCGCCUUGUCCGUGUUAUUUUCCACCAUCUGAUACAUCAAAACACGGACGGAGGGUCACUAUGUUAUGAAUCUGGCCCUGUUGCCAGGCGCGCAUACGUUAUUAACCAUCUACCAUGUGCCAGGCUGUGAGCUUCUUGAGAAGCAUUAUCAUGUGGGGAUUAAGAGCACAGGCUCUGGAGCCCUGCCACCUGGACCAGAUCCCAGCUCUGCCGCUUCUCAGCUGUGUCCAACCCAACAAUGUCUCCAAACGGAGUGUCGGGGUUGAAGAUGGCCUGCAACACUGCCUGAUCAUUUGGAGUCCCCAUGGUACUCAACUGCAAAAUCCAAAAAGAUUGGGAGGAACUCGUUAGAAGCCAACUCUUGACCACCCGUGGAUGAAGAAGGGGGAUAUGUACAAAGUAAAGGAACUAUUCCUUUGUCUUCUUGACCCCUUCCUCAUAUCCAGAGUUCAUUAGGUCCUGAACAUACAUCACUGAUGAAUAAGGGGAGAAAAUAUGGUUAAGAGAGACAGUGUAGAGUGGGGCCUGAGUGUAGAGUGGGAAAUGAUUUCACGAUUCCCCCUUAAAAGAAAGGACUGUGGAAGGGACUUUGUAAUCAGGUCACGGGCCACGCCCCUCCCAUUAGGCCACCUCAGCCAAAGCCAAAAGAAAGUUCAACCAUGUGCAGCA